GGGGGGGGUAGAAAGAUACAGUGACAGACAGAGGGGGGGGAAGAGAACAACAGAUAAGAUUCUGCCUCAACAGUUGCUGUCCAAAUGAGAAAGGUAGAGCAGGGACAGUGAAGAGGAGACAUUGUCAGGGAAUAUUAUAGAGGAAUAUUUCUAUGCUACUUAAAACCGGAAAUGAGACGGUGACAGGGAGGAGAGAGAGAGAGAGAGAGAGAAGCUAAGGUGAGGAGCAAGGUAGAACGGACGGAGCAGGAGAAUGAGAGGCACACGGGCGUGUGCUUAUACGCACCACCUCUUCCUGUGUCACAAGGUUCUGCAAUCCUUUUUCUCACACAGACUAUAAAAAAAGUUAUGCAAAGUCUGUCUCCGCUCCAAGAGCUACCAGACACCCACUCCCUUCAAAGGACUGGGCUCUCUCUAUCGCUCCAUUUCUCUCUCUCACACACGCGCACUCACACACACGCCACCCCUCACUCCUGGCACAGAGAAGCCACGACCACUGGAGAGACCAUACAAACCUACUUCUCUAGUAAUUCACCUAGCCAUCAACAGACGCUAAGCCCAGGAUGUGGACUCUGCUCUUGGGGCUCACCUUUGGAUUACUGGCCUCCAUCAGGUCGGCUUCGGCUCAAGUUCCCAACACCCUGGAGACAUAAGAGACAACAUGACGCUUCCACACUUCACAUCUUUCACAACUGAUGUUUGUGCCAAUCACCAUGGUAAUCCUUUAUCAACAAACACUUCAGGGAAUAGAUGGUGAUUUUUCUUGUGUGUUCAUUAUGCAUUUAAUGGACAGUAUCUAAAAAAACUGAGUACACCCCUCACAUUUCUGUAAAUAUUUGAGAAUUUCUUUUCAUGUGACAACACUGAAACAACAAUUUGGACAUUUUUACUUAGGGGUGUACUCACUUUUGUUGCCCGCGGUUUAGCCAUUGGCAGUGUGUUAUGUUAUUUUGAGGGGACAGUAAAUGUACACUUAUAUAAGCUGUACACUCACUACUUUACAUUGUAGCAAAGGGUCAUUUCUUCAGUGUUGUCAC
Molecule: long non-coding RNA, 1037 nt
Organism: Esox lucius (northern pike)
Lineage: Eukaryota; Metazoa; Chordata; Actinopteri; Esociformes; Esocidae
Source: Ensembl